This 564-nucleotide ribosomal RNA is filed under the name Morganella morganii. Its description in RNAcentral is "partial 23S ribosomal RNA". It matches the Rfam family "Bacterial large subunit ribosomal RNA", at positions 678 to 1238 of the family's 2925-position model. The record is from RNAcentral. Lineage: Bacteria; Pseudomonadati; Pseudomonadota; Gammaproteobacteria; Enterobacterales; Morganellaceae.
CGAGUCUUAACUGGGCGAAUUAGUUGCAGGGUAUAGACCCGAAACCCGGUGAUCUAGCCAUGGGCAGGUUGAAGGUUGGGUAACACUAACUGGAGGACCGAACCGACUAAUGUUGAAAAAUUAGCGGAUGACUUGUGGCUGGGGGUGAAAGGCCAAUCAAACCGGGAGAUAGCUGGUUCUCCCCGAAAGCUAUUUAGGUAGCGCCUCGUGAAUUCAUCUCCGGGGGUAGAGCACUGUUUCGGCUAGGGGGUCAUCCCGACUUACCAACCCGAUGCAAACUGCGAAUACCGGAGAAUGUUAUCACGGGAGACACACGGCGGGUGCUAACGUUCGUCGUGAAGAGGGAAACAACCCAGACCGCCGGCUAAGGUCCCAAAGUCAUAAUUAAGUGGGAAACGAAGUGGGAAGGCUCAGACAGCCAGGAUGUUGGCUUAGAAGCAGCCAUCAUUUAAAGAAAGCGUAAUAGCUCACUGGUCGAGUCGGCCUGCGCGGAAGAUGUAACGGGGCUAAAUUAUGCACCGAAGCCGCGGCAGCGAUAUGUAAAUAUUGUUGGGUAGGGGAGCG